GAUGAACGCUGGCGGCGUGCUUAACACAUGCAAGUCGAACGAUGAAGCUGGAGCUUGCUCUGGUGGAUUAGUGGCGAACGGGUGAGUAACACGUGAGCAACCUGCCCCUGACUCUGGGAUAACAGCCGGAAACGGCUGCUAAUACCGGAUAUGCACCAUGAACGCAUGUUCUGUGGUGGGAAGGAUUUUUCGGUUGGGGAUGGGCUCGCGGCCUAUCAGCUUGUUGGUGAGGUAAUGGCUCACCAAGGCGUCGACGGGUAGCCGGCCUGAGAGGGUGACCGGCCACACUGGGACUGAGACACGGCCAAGACUCCUACGGGAGGCAGCAGUGGGGAAUAUUGCACAAUGGGCGAAAGCCUGAUGCAGCAACGCCGCGUGAGGGAUGACGGCCUUCGGGUUGUAAACCUCUUUUAGCAGGGAAGAAGCGAGAGUGACGGUACCUGCAGAAAAAGCGCCGGCUAACUACGUG
Molecule: ribosomal RNA, 469 nt
Filed under: uncultured bacterium
Lineage: Bacteria
Description: partial 16S ribosomal RNA
Rfam family: Bacterial small subunit ribosomal RNA
Source: RNAcentral